Molecule: ribosomal RNA, 433 nt
Filed under: uncultured bacterium
Lineage: Bacteria
Description: partial 16S ribosomal RNA
Rfam family: Bacterial small subunit ribosomal RNA
Source: RNAcentral
AACGAACGCUGGCGGCAUGCCUAACACAUGCAAGUCGAACGAGACCUUCGGGUCCAGUGGCGCACGGGUGCGUAACGCGAGGGAACCUGCACUUAGGUUCGGAAUAACUCCCCGAAAGGGGUGCUAAUACCGGACAAUGUCUUCGGCCCAAAGAUUUAUCGCCUUUGGAUGGGCCCGAGUUGGAUUCGCUAGUUGGUAGGGUAAAAGCCUACCAAGGCGACGAUCCAUAGCUGGUCUGAGAGGAUGAUCAGCCACACUGGGACUGGGACACGGCCCAGACUCCUACGGGAGGCAGCAGUGGGGAAUAUUGGACAAUGGGCGAAAGCCUGAUCCAGCAAUGCCGCGUGAGUGAUGAAGGCCUUAGGGUUGUAAAGCUCUUUUACCCGGGAUGAUAAUGACAGUACCGGGAGAAUAAGCUCCGGCUAACUCCGUG